UGUGGUUGUUGUAGCAAACUAUA
RNAcentral lists this non-coding RNA (23 nucleotides) under Arabidopsis thaliana (thale cress). The record is from RNAcentral. Lineage: Eukaryota; Viridiplantae; Streptophyta; Magnoliopsida; Brassicales; Brassicaceae.